Molecule: long non-coding RNA, 2662 nt
Filed under: Homo sapiens (human)
Lineage: Eukaryota; Metazoa; Chordata; Mammalia; Primates; Hominidae
Description: PREDICTED lncRNA (TCONS_00040582)
Source: RNAcentral
GAGGGAGGCUUCCAGUGAAAACAAGAAAGCCUGCUGGACAAAUUCUAAAAAAGCUGUAACACUGACAGGGGGCUGGAGCCCUGGGCCAAGGGAGACCUGUGACCCCAGGUGCCGCCGGGAGAACUUCAGCCCAGAGGGGAAAUCAGCUCUCCGUGACCCAGCACCCCUACCCAGCAGCGCAACAGAUCCUGAGAGGAGCUACAGGAUGAUUCUAGAAACAGCGCACUUCAGGAAUCAUGUUGCAGGUGUUGUGCAUUGGAUCCACCACAGUCGGCUGAAACUGACAACUCAAGACAAGUGGACCAGCCAGCAGGACCCAGAUCAUCCAACUCGGCUGAUCCUGAGACGGGACCAAACUGCUGCCGAAGACGACCGCCCUGUUCUGGUCACUCCGGAGGCUAACCAGCCUACGCAUGGCUGAAGUUUGAGGAAACAACAAGCCCUGCUCUAGUCACACACUGAAAGCUGACUAGUCUAUGCACGGCCAAAGCUUGAGGACUCAUCAAGCAAGUAAAUGUAGUUAGAAAUCUUAGAACUAGUAGUUUUCCUUGUAAUAUUAACUGUUUUACUAUUGUUCUGUCACUGUGCUCAACCUCCUCUCCCAAAUAAGGACCUCUUCUGUCCUUACUAGAUAUGAAUAUACUGUACAUUGUUUUACUGUUGUUACCCCACUUAACCAUGCUAGAAGAAACACCCAUAGAAGGGUGUCCCCAUCGUACACAUACUACAUGGUCAGAAAACAGUAUAACCAGGACUCUAUUAUACCAUACUUAUUAUGAGUAUACAGGGACUCACCUAGGAACUUGUACUUACAAUCAGAUCACCUAUUCAAUUUAUGACCCAGGAAAUGGCCAGCUACCUAGGUGGAAGAUAGGUCAUGGAGUUACCGUACUCCUACUUACGUGCUUAAGCGCAUCAUAAGGUUACAGGCAGGGCUUGAGAUCAUCACUAAUAAACAUCAAAUGCAUUAGAUUUACUGACCCAGCAAGCUACAAAAAAUGAGGAAUGCUAUCUAUCAGAACAGAUUAGCUUUAGACUAUCUCCUAGCCCAGGAAGGAGGAGUAUGUGGAAAAUUCAAUCUAACUAAUUGUUGCCUGGAAAUCAAUGACAAUGGAAAGACAUUUAUGGAAAUAACUGCAAGAAUAAGAAAAUUAACCCACGUUCCAGUUCAAACGUAGAAAGGGUGGUCUCCAGAUUCUCUCUUUGGAGGCUGUUUUUCAUUUUUCGGAGGGUUCAAGACUUUAAUAAGAUUGAUUCUGGCCAUACUAGGAAGUUGCCUAAUACUACCUUGUCUCUUACCUCUCCUUGUUAGAAACAUUCAGUCAACUAUAGAGGCAAUAGUAGCUAGGCAAACUACCAGUCAGCUAAUGGCUCUAUGUAAAUGUCAACCUUUGUCUAAAGAAGAAAACUUGUCUCUUCAUGCAAAAUUAAAUAAUAGUGAUGCCUCCUAUUAAAUUUCUUUUAUAAAAGGCAUCAAAGGGGGGAAACUGAGGCAGAAAUUUAAAAAUAAAUAUGCAUUCAUUCACUCCAAGAAAAGUUAACAGGCAAGGCAAGGGUUAAAAAGAAAAGAACAAGUUUUCCUCGGCCUAGCAAGCUCACUUCAAGGACAGUUAUAAGAUAAUGUUGUUUGAGAAGCCAAGUCCAAAGGAAUGGGUUCCAGACAUCCCUCCCCUCUAGAACAAGGUUGAAGGAAAAAAAAAAAAAAAGAAGAAGACAAAUUCCUUUACUGUUACUCCUUUCCCUGGCUUCUUAAGCAUGAUUAUGUUUUACAAAUGUCUGUAUUUAGCCAGUUCUUGAUUUUCUUUUGACACAGCUCCAAGGCCACCAGCUAUGCAAGGCCACAAGUUAUGCACUAUAUGAUUAACUGCUUUUGUUUUACUUUUGUAAGUCCACUUAUAAAAACCCUGCUCUGUCUUUGUUUAAUGCUCAGCUUUUUGGAUUUGAAUCCACUCAGCCGGUGCACACCUUAAAAUAAACAUCCUCCUGUACUCUCAUAUUGGUCUCUCCAUUCCUCAGUUUCCCACAAGAUUACAAGCAUGAGCCACCGCACCGGGCCCAUUUUAACCAUUUUCAAAUGGAGAAUUCAGUGGUAUUAGGUACAUUUAUAUUGUUGUGCAACCAUCACCACUAUCCAUCUACAGAACUCUUUUUAUCUUGUGAAACUAAAACUCUAUACCCAUUAAACACUAACUCCUCACUCCUCCCUUCCCUCAUCACUUGACAGCCAUCCUUCUACUUUAUGUCUCUAUUCAUAGGUAUGAGCUCCCCCAUGCCUGCCCAAAUCACUAAUCUAAAAGGAAAUGUCAAGCUGAGAACUUCUUAGGGCAAACCUGCCUCCCAUUCUAUUCAAAGUUACCCCUCUGCUCAGAGAUAAAUGCAUAUCUCAUUGCCUCCUUUGGAGAAGCUAAUCAGAAACUCAAAAGAAUGCAACCAUUUGUCUCUUUUCUACCUAUGACCUGGAAGCCCCCUCCCUGCUUUGAGCUGUCCCGCCUUUCUGGACCAAACCAAUGUUCAUCUUACAUAUAUUAACUGAUGUCUCAUUUCUCCCUAAAAUGUAUAAAACCAAGCUAUGGUCUGACUACCCUGGGCACAUGACAUCAGGACCUCCUGAGACUGCGCCAUGGGUGCACAUCCUCAACUGUGGCAAAAUAAACUUUAUUUU